AUCACUCUUGGAUGGACCUGCGGUGCAUUAGCUAGUUGGUAAGGUAACGGCUUACCAAGGCGAUGAUGCAUAGCCGAGUUGAGAGACUGAUCGGCCACAAUGGAACUGAGACACGGUCCAUACUCCUACGGGAGGCAGCAGUAGGGAAUCUUCCACAAUGGGCGCAAGCCUGAUGGAGCAACACCGCGUGAGUGAAGAAGGGUUUCGGCUCGUAAAACUCUGUUGUUGGAGAAGAACGUGCGUGAGAGUAACUGUUCACGCAGUGACGGUAUCCAACCAGAAAGUCACGGCUAACUACGUGCCAGCAGCCGCGGUAAUACGUAGGUGGCAAGCGUUAUCCGGAUUUAUUGGGCGUAAAGCGAGCGCAGGCGGUUGCUUAGGUCUGAUGUGAAAGCCUUCGGCUUAACCGAAGAAGUGCAUCGGAAACCGGGCGACUUGAGUGCAGAAGAGGACAGUGGAACUCCAUGUGUAGCGGUGGAAUGCGUAGAUAUAUGGAAGAACACCAGUGGCGAAGGCGGCUGUCUGGUCUGCAACUGACGCUGAGGCUCGAAAGCAUGGGUAGCGAACAGGAUUAGAUACCCUGGUAGUCCAUGCCGUAAACAAUGAGUGAU
RNAcentral lists this ribosomal RNA (611 nucleotides) under uncultured bacterium. RNAcentral's name for it is "bacterial SSU rRNA". It matches the Rfam family "Bacterial small subunit ribosomal RNA", at positions 214 to 817 of the family's 1533-position model. The record is from RNAcentral.